CUCUGUCUAACGACGAAAGAAGAAGCAUUCACCACAGCAGACCCAGAUUGAAUUAAAGAUGACUAGCUACCAAGCAGCAUUGGUAAUGUGCGUUGUGUUACUGAUGGUUGUGGAUAUACAGGCUCAAGAGGAUCCUGUACGAGAAAACCUUGCACUACAGGGAACUGCAACCCAGAUUUCUACUGCUUUCCUUGGGAAUGCUAGUUUGGCUAUUGAUGGGAAUGAUGAUCCUAGUUACUU
Long non-coding RNA from Saccoglossus kowalevskii, 240 nucleotides. The record is from RefSeq and is a predicted model, not a curated record. NCBI's taxonomy places the organism in Eukaryota, Metazoa, Hemichordata, Enteropneusta, Harrimaniidae.